RNAcentral lists this ribosomal RNA (303 nucleotides) under uncultured bacterium. Its description in RNAcentral is "partial 16S ribosomal RNA". It matches the Rfam family "Bacterial small subunit ribosomal RNA", at positions 507 to 807 of the family's 1533-position model. The record is from RNAcentral.
AGCAGUAGCCGCGGUAACACGAGGGGAGCUAGCGUUAUUCGGAAUUACUGGGCGUAAAGCGCACGUAGGCGGCUUUGUAAGUUAGAGGUGAAAGCCCAGAGCUCAACUCUGGAAUUGCCUUUAAGACUGCAUCGCUUGAAUCCAGGAGAGGUGAGUGGAAUUCCGAGUGUAGAGGUGAAAUUCGUAGAUAUUCGGAAGAACACCAGUGGCGAAGGCGGCUCACUGGACUGGUAUUGACGCUGAGGUGCGAAAGCGUGGGGAGCAAACAGGAUUAGAUACCCCCGUAGUCCCUGUCUCUUAUAC